This 363-nucleotide ribosomal RNA is filed under the name uncultured Virgibacillus sp. Its description in RNAcentral is "bacterial SSU rRNA". It matches the Rfam family "Bacterial small subunit ribosomal RNA", at positions 505 to 871 of the family's 1533-position model. The record is from RNAcentral. Lineage: Bacteria; Bacillati; Bacillota; Bacilli; Caryophanales; Bacillaceae.
GUGCCAGCCGCCGCGGUAAUACGUAGGGGCAAGCGUUGUCCGGAAUUAUUGGGCGUAAAGCGCGCGCAGGCGGUUCCUUAAGUCUGAUGUGAAAUCUCGUGGCUCAACCACGAACGGUCAUUGGAAACUGGGGAACUUGAGUACAGAAGAGGAGAGUGGAAUUCCGACGUGUAGCGGUGAAAUGCGUAGAUAUGUGGAGGAACACCAGUGGCGAAGGCGACUCUCUGGUCUGUAACUGACGCUGAGGCGCGAAAGCGUGGGAGCGAACAGGAUUAGAUACCCUGGUAGUCCACGCCGUAACGAUGAGUGCUAGGUGUUAGGGGUUCCGCCCUUAGUGCUGCAGUUAACGCAUUAAGCACUCCG